GGAGGAAAGUAGGGGAUCGUAAGACCUAGCGUUGAUGGAGCGGCCGAUAUCUGAUUAGCUAGUUGGUGGGGUAAGAGCCUACCAAGGCGACGAUCAGUAGCUGGUCUGAGAGGACGACCAGCCACACUGGAACUGAGACACGGUCCAGACUCCUACGGGAGGCAGCAGUGGGGAAUUUUGGACAAUGGGCGCAAGCCUGAUCCAGCCAUUCCGCGUGCAGGAUGAAGGCCCUCGGGUUGUAAACUGCUUCUGUACAGAACGAAAAGCUCUGGGUUAAUACCCCGGGGUCAUGACGGUACUGUAAGAAUAAGCACCGGCUAACUACGUGCCAGCAGCCGCGGUAAUACGUAGGGUGCGAGCGUUAAUCGGAAUUACUGGGCGUAAAGCGUGCGCAGGCGGCUUUGUAAGUCAGAUGUGAAAUCCCCGGGCUCAACCUGGGAACUGC
RNAcentral lists this ribosomal RNA (445 nucleotides) under uncultured Nitrosomonadales bacterium. Its description in RNAcentral is "bacterial SSU rRNA". It matches the Rfam family "Bacterial small subunit ribosomal RNA", at positions 198 to 624 of the family's 1533-position model. Lineage: Bacteria; Pseudomonadati; Pseudomonadota; Betaproteobacteria; Nitrosomonadales. The record is from RNAcentral.